Molecule: long non-coding RNA, 1471 nt
Filed under: Gallus gallus (chicken)
Lineage: Eukaryota; Metazoa; Chordata; Aves; Galliformes; Phasianidae
Source: RNAcentral
GUUGGUGUCUUCCUGCAAAAGGGCUUUGAAGUUGCAUAGAAUGUACACAUUGGUUCUUUGAGAGAUGCUGUGUUGGUAGACAAUUAACUGAUUUGCUGGUCUUUGCGCUUUCCUUUGAGUACGCUGAGGCUGAUGGUGUGUGGCUGCUCUUCCUCUGAGUCUGAAGCUAUCAGGACACACAUGUUUCCAAGGCUAUCUUACAGAACAAAAAUCAAAUUAUUUUUAAAAGCCCAGUCCCAAAGCCUUGGCAUGCAGAGCAGAAGAUAGAAGACUUGUAACAGAUGGCUCCAAAAUGCCCUCACAGCACUGAUGUUGGUAACAGGUCAGUGAUCACCACAGGCUGAGAACAUAUUGGUAACUCAGAUAGGGGCACGUUACAUUGAAUGGCCAGGCACAUCAUCUUGAAGCACUGAAACUUGAUGCUUGUUCUUAAAGUUGUUAAGCAGCUUUCCUGCUAAAUACCAGCAUAUUUCUUCAGCAAAUUGGAUUCUGUGCUUUAUCUUGGCUUGUCUUAGUUAAAGCUGUGAUCACAUUGGUUCAAGCCAUCAGAACUCAUGGCGUAAUUUAGAGUGUGAGACUAAGGAGGUGAAUAUGGGAUGUUUAGCAGUGUUUUAGGUAUCUUUUCCUAAUUGAUUCUUAUGUACUCAGAGGAUCACUAGGUGGGAAUGAUUGGAAUGGAAGGCUUUAAUUUGGUAUUUGUAAUUUGGGAGGUAGGAAGUAGAGCUGAAUUUUCAGCACACUAUCAGGGCAACUUGAAAUGGAUGUGUGGCCAAGUAAGCUUCCUGUGAUGGCACAUAGCAGGAAAGUCUUUUAUCUAAGUGUGCUUAUAGGGUAAUAGAUACCAUAGACAUAGAAUGGUAGAAUCAUGGAUGUGUUAGAGAUGGAUCAGUUAAGAAUUAGAAGUGAUUCAAUGAUAGAAUAAGGCUUGCUGUGGCUGGUAUUAAUCUUAUUCUGGUGUCGGUGGUAUAUAAAUGCCUUCUUAGUUUUGGUUUAUGUGCUCACCACAAUGCAAAUAGCUUCUUGCUGUGUAGUCUGGGGAAAAGCAAUGCAUACAAUCCUGCCUUUAUUUCCCAGUCUUCACAAGGAGGAUUACACAUCUUACUCUUGGACGUGAUCUAUGCACAACUAACCAAGACUUGAUAAAGUACUUAGUUACUGGGAAGUGCUUACUUCCUAAUUCAGUGGAGGUGCCAUUUGUUUGACACUUGAUCCUCUUAAACGCUGAGGAGAGAAUGAAAUUGAAAUCUGUCAGAAACGAAGUAAAAAAUGGACCCUUUGAAAUACACGCAGGAGCUGAGGUUUGAAGAACUGGUUGAGGUUUGAAGCGAGUGAUGAAAGUGCUCAUUUCUUUAUACGUGUCUGAAUGAGAACAGCUGUCUGCUGGGGGUUCUGCUGCGGUAAUUGCUGCGAGUGAAAGGCGAUUAGGCUAGGAGAGGAAAAAUACUGAGGGGUAAGUAAAAGAGGAUGUGCC